This is a non-coding RNA of Pelobates cultripes (western spadefoot toad), 211 nucleotides long. The record is from the annotation of a GenBank genome assembly. Lineage: Eukaryota; Metazoa; Chordata; Amphibia; Anura; Pelobatidae.
AACAUCGCCAUAUGCGUUUUUGAUUCAAUAAAGAAGAAAUUUAAGUUGAACUCCCAGAGUUCAAAAAAAUUGUCUUGGCACUCACCCUAAAAGCAUAUUUAAGCUAAAUCUUGCCUUGGUGCAUCCCCAGCGUACAAAUAUAUAUUGAAAAAGGAUAGUAGGUGCACUCAUAGGUCUUUUUAAGGUGAUUCCUUUAUUAUAAUUGCAUAUU